This 495-nucleotide ribosomal RNA is filed under the name uncultured bacterium. Its description in RNAcentral is "partial 16S ribosomal RNA". It matches the Rfam family "Bacterial small subunit ribosomal RNA", at positions 28 to 507 of the family's 1533-position model. The record is from RNAcentral.
GACGAACGCUGGCGGCGUGCCUAAUACAUGCAAGUAGAACGCUGAAGGAGGAGCUUGCUUCUCUGGAUGAGUUGCGAACGGGUGAGUAACGCGUAGGUAACCUGCCUGGUAGCGGGGGAUAACUAUUGGAAACGAUAGCUAAUACCGCAUAAUAGUAGAUGUUGCAUGACAUUUGCUUAAAAGGUGCAAUUGCAUCACUACCAGAUGGACCUGCGUUGUAUUAGCUAGUUGGUGGGGUAACGGCGCACCAAGGCGACGAUACAUAGCCGACCUGAGAGGGUGAUCGGCCACCCUGGGACUGGGACACGGCCCAGACUCCUACGGGAGGCAGCAGGAGGGGAUCUUCGGCAAUGGACGGAAGGCUGAACGAGCAACGCCGCGUGAGUGAAGAAGGUUGUCGGAUCGGAAAGCUCUGUUGUAAGAGAAGAACGAGUGUGAGAGUGGAAAGUUCACACUGUGACGGUAUCUGACCAGAAAGGGACGGCUAACUACGUG